This 443-nucleotide ribosomal RNA is filed under the name uncultured bacterium. Its description in RNAcentral is "partial 16S ribosomal RNA". It matches the Rfam family "Bacterial small subunit ribosomal RNA", at positions 338 to 795 of the family's 1533-position model. The record is from RNAcentral.
CCUACGGGGGACAGCAGUGGGGAAUAUUGGGCAAUGGGCGCAAGCCUGACCCAGCAACGCCGCGUGAAGGAAGAAGGCUUUCGGGUUGUUAACUUCUUUUCUCAGGGACGAAGAAAGUGACGGUACCUGAGGAAUAAGCCACGGCUAACUACGUGCCAGCAGUCGCGGUGAUACGUAGGUGGCAAGCGUUAUCCGGAUUGAUUGGGUGUAAAGGGCGUGUAGGCGGGAGCGCAAGUCAGAUGUGAAAACUCAGGGCUUAACCCUGAGCCUGCAUUUGAAACUGUGGUUCUUGAGUGCUGAAGAGGCAAUCGGAAUUCCGUGUGUAGCGGUGAAAUGCGUAGAGAUACGGAGGAACACCAGUGGCGAAGGCGGAUUGCUGGACAGUAACUGACGCUGAGGCGCGAAAGCGUGGGGAGCAAACAGGAUUAGAUACCCUGGUAGUC